UGAUUCCAGCAUAUGUUCUCUUCAAGCCAGCCUUGAUUCCCUGGGGUGGCUCAUUGGUAAACUUGAUGGAGGCCUACAAUGUGACAUAAAGAAAAUAAACGAACCUAGUCAGUCUGUGAAAUAACCCAUGUGCCCGAUGCUCGGGGCAAGUAAAAAUCCCGCCGGGCAAGUAAAAAAUCGUAUUUGCUUGCCCGAUCGGGCAAGUGAAAAAAGAGAACGAAAUCGUUUAUCCGAAAAUCAACAAACAAAGUAAAUACGCUAAAUUUGAUGACGUAUUACUCGACUUUGUAAAAGUCGCUAAAUUUGAUGACGUUUUACGCGGUCUGUAUCGACUGGUACACUUACUCCGCAGUCCGAAUCAACAGACGCUUAUAACUAUGCACUGCCACCUACAUCAGUCAAAAACGAAACAACAUUCAGCCAAAUGAAACUGCUUAAAACAAAGAGAAGGGGUCAUUUAAAGGCUGACAGGCUAAAUGACUUGCUCACUAUUAAGCUUGAGAGUGAAGAUAUUGAAAAAUUUGACCCUGAACCAGCCAUUCUUGAUUGGAUGACUAGUACAGCAUCUGGUCAGGGUAGGCGACUGAAUGCCACAAAGAGGAUCAAUCGACAACUUCCAAGACAGUUGUCAUUUCUGAUACAGAUGAGGAGCCGGAGGACCUAGUAGGGAUAGAUGAUGAUGAUGAUAUUGCACAGCAGGAAACGAGUGUCAUGAAAGACUUCUUUGGUGAAAAAGACGACGAUGAUGAUGAUGAUGAUGAUGUCGAGAUGACAGAAGAUACUGUUUUCUCUCUUCUUUUGUCAUUUAGAGAAUAAUAAAACAACUCUG
Mya arenaria is the source of this 829-nucleotide long non-coding RNA. RefSeq lists it as uncharacterized. The transcript has 3 exons. The record is from RefSeq and is a predicted model, not a curated record. NCBI's taxonomy places the organism in Eukaryota, Metazoa, Mollusca, Bivalvia, Myida, Myidae.